RNAcentral lists this transfer RNA (71 nucleotides) under Camelus bactrianus (Bactrian camel). It matches the Rfam family "tRNA". Rfam says of the family: Transfer RNA (tRNA) molecules are approximately 80 nucleotides in length. Their secondary structure includes four short double-helical elements and three loops (D, anti-codon, and T loops). Lineage: Eukaryota; Metazoa; Chordata; Mammalia; Artiodactyla; Camelidae. RNAcentral also lists the same sequence under 2 other names. The record is from Rfam by way of RNAcentral.
GAGGGUGUAGCGCAGUGGAAGAGCGCAUGCUUAGCAUGCACAAGGUCCUGGGUUCAAUCCCCAGGCCCUCC